UACGGAGGGUGCAAGCGUUAUCCGGAUUCACUGGGUUUAAAGGGUGCGUAGGCGGGCAGAUAAGUCAGUGGUGAAAUCUCCGAGCUUAACUCGGAAACUGCCGUUGAUACUAUUUGUCUUGAGUACUGUGGAGGUAGGCGGAAUAUGUCAUGUAGCGGUGAAAUGCUUAGAUAUGACAUAGAAGACCAAUUGCGAAGGCAGCAUACUACACAGCGAUUGACGCUGAGGCACGAGAGCGUGGGGAUCAAACAGG
RNAcentral lists this ribosomal RNA (253 nucleotides) under uncultured bacterium. RNAcentral describes it as "partial 16S ribosomal RNA". It matches the Rfam family "Bacterial small subunit ribosomal RNA", at positions 524 to 776 of the family's 1533-position model. The record is from RNAcentral.